RNAcentral lists this RNase P RNA (417 nucleotides) under Nocardioidaceae bacterium. RNAcentral's name for it is "RNase P RNA component class A". It matches the Rfam family "Bacterial RNase P class A". Rfam says of the family: Ribonuclease P (RNase P) is a ubiquitous endoribonuclease, found in archaea, bacteria and eukarya as well as chloroplasts and mitochondria. The record is from RNAcentral. Lineage: Bacteria; Bacillati; Actinomycetota; Actinomycetes; Propionibacteriales; Nocardioidaceae.
CGAGCCGGCCGGGCGGCCGCGGCAGGCGCAAGCCUGUCGAGGAAGGUCCGGACUCCACAGGGCAGGGCGGUGGGCAACACCCACCCAGGGUGACCUGCGGGACAGUGCCACAGAGAACAGACCGCCAACGGCCGCGGGCCUUCGGGCGCGCGGUGCGGGCAAGGGUGAAACGGUGGUGUAAGAGACCACCAGCGCCCCGGGUGACCGGGGCGGCUCGGUAAACCCCGUCUGGAGCAAGGCCAAGUUGGCGGGUCGCCACGUGCGGCCCGCUGCGCGGACGAUCGAGGGCUGCUCGCCCGAUGUCCGCGGGUAGGCCGCACGACGGCGUCGGUGACGGCGUCUCGAGAUGGAUGGCCGCCCCGGCCGUCGCCAGUGGCGGCGGCCGGACAGAAUCCGGCCUACAGGCCGGCUCGUCCG